This 1318-nucleotide long non-coding RNA is filed under the name Sus scrofa (pig). RNAcentral's name for it is "lncRNA (ENSSSCG00065066805.1)". Lineage: Eukaryota; Metazoa; Chordata; Mammalia; Artiodactyla; Suidae. The record is from RNAcentral.
GGGGGGGGUUGGGGAGGGUACGGAGGGCGGGGGCGAGCGGAGACAGCCAAUCCGCGGAGCCACGGGCGAGGCCAGACACCUAGUCCCACGGGGAUUGAAUUAUCCUCCUACCCCGCCCCCCCCCCAGCCCUGGGGAAGGGUGGGGCGAGGAAUGAAAGCCUCCCCAGCCCCGCCCACGCUCACGCACCUGUCGCCGGCUGCGCUCACCGGAGACCCAUGGAUCAAUCGCCAGCCCAAGGUCGGUAGGCAACGCAAGGAAACCGGUGAUCCUCCCAAAGCAUGAAGGGACCAGUAUUUUCGUUCCCUGGGGACGGUGCUGAAGACCCAGUUUGGAGCAUGCAUCACCCGGCAGCCACAUGGUGGCAGUGUUUCCUAAUUGUUGAAAAAGUUCCUGCAAAUAAAAGAAACACAGCUUCUGGAUCAGUGAAAACUAUGAGCCUAACAAGACAACAUGACCUUUGCUGGCUCUCCAAUGGCUAAAGGAGGGAAAAGCCCACAAUCCUCUACUUUGAGUGUAAGGCCGUUCACAAAGGCAACCCAGGCUAUCUUUCCAUCCCCGCGCCCCCCCCUCCCCUCUCCUCACCCUUCCACAAUCAGCCAUUAGCUUCUCACCUGCUCUGUGAGCAGGCAUAACUUUUUCUCCUCAAGUUUUGUAUAUAUCAUGCCCCACUGCUUGAAAUGACCUGGACGGGGUACUGGAUUCCUGCCACAUGGACCGUGGAAGAGUGGUCUCAAGGGUUUACCUAGCCUGGGGUACUCUUGCGAAAGACACCUGGGAGGCGGGGCCAGCAGGUCCUCAGCCACCAGGAAGGCAGGGAGCCCACUUCCUGGGACGUCAGGCAAGCUCUCCGCCCCAAUCUGAAUGAAGUCAGCUGAAACAAAUCCCUCCCUCUCGGGGGUGAAAUAGAAGAGCAGGGCAGUCAAAGAGGACACUGAGCCCUUGGGAUCUGGGAGUCACACACAGUGAUCCUGAGCACCUCUCCCAGACACUUAUGAACCCAGAGCCUGGCAUCAUCUCAGAGCCUGGCACCAAGCUGUAUUGGUUACAGGAGGGCACAUGCAUCUUCAUGUUCCCUGUAGGCUUAGCCAAAAUCACCAUCACUGUACACAUCCUUUGCUCAGGGAGCUAAUACAGCAGUGAGGUUGGGAGGAUCAAUUCCCAAGCUAGACUUCCCGGGUUUGAAACCCAUCUUUUUUUUUUUUUUUUUUUUUUGCCAUUUCUUGGGCCGCUCCCGCGGCAAUAUGGAGGUUCCCAGGCUAGGGGUUGAACCAGAGCUGUAGCCGCCAGGCUACACCAGAGCCACAGCAACAUGGGAUC